This 206-nucleotide unclassified non-coding RNA is filed under the name Hevea brasiliensis (rubber tree). Lineage: Eukaryota; Viridiplantae; Streptophyta; Magnoliopsida; Malpighiales; Euphorbiaceae. The record is from RNAcentral.
ACGCAACAGUCUUACAAGGUCAGCGACUCAUUCCCCUUUAAGUGGAUAAACAAGAAGUGGAGAGAAGGAUUUUACGUGACCUCAAUGGCAACUGCUGGAAGCCGGUGGGGUAUUGUCAUGUCUCGCAAUGCUGGCUUUAGUGAUCAGGUCGUUGAACUUGAUUUUCUUUACCCGAGCGAGGGCAUUCACAGACGGUGGGAUAAUGG